RNAcentral lists this unclassified non-coding RNA (378 nucleotides) under Hevea brasiliensis (rubber tree). Lineage: Eukaryota; Viridiplantae; Streptophyta; Magnoliopsida; Malpighiales; Euphorbiaceae. The record is from RNAcentral.
CUUUCUUUUCACCCACUUCCAUAAUAUCAGAGUAAAUUUUCAAUGGCUGAUAUUGCUCUUUUGGUUGCUGAGGAGUAUGAAAGGAGAGUCAAGAAUUCAAGAAAGUUAUNNNNNNNNNNNNNUGCAGAUUCAGAUUCAGAUUCAGCCAUGAAAGUUGUUAACUGGGUUUCUUGUGUUUCUUUCCUGUCUCGGAGUGUCAAGAAUAAGGUUAGGCAAGAGAAUAUUGAACUUGCCAAAAUGGUUUUGGAGCCCAAGACCCAAAUUGGUCUUGCAGCUUCUAAUGGGUUCUUCUCUGCCUGAGUUUUUUCUCUUCUUGAUUUCGAUCUUCUAUUUUUUUUUUCUUUUAGUUUGUAGUUCUGUACAAAUUUUAUGUUCCGA